Molecule: ribosomal RNA, 1042 nt
Filed under: uncultured bacterium
Lineage: Bacteria
Description: bacterial SSU rRNA
Rfam family: Bacterial small subunit ribosomal RNA
Source: RNAcentral
GGCACCAGUGGAGAAUCAUUCACAAUGGGAGAAACCCUGAUGGUGGGACGCCGCGUGGGGGAAUGAAAGUCUUAGGAUUGUAAACCCGUGUCAUGUGAGAGCAAAUUAUAAAGAUAGUUCCACAAGAGGAAGAGACGGCUAACUUUGUUCCAGCAACCGCGGUAAUUCAGAGGUCUCCAGCGUUGUUUGGAAUCUCUGGGGGUAAAAGGUGAGUCAGCUGUUUCGUAAAUUGUGUGUGAAAGGCGCGGGCUCAACCCGCGGACGGCACAUGAUACUGCGAGACUAAGAGUAAUGGAGGGGGAACCGGAAUUUUCGGUGUAGCAGUGAAAUGCGUAGAUAUUGAGAGGAACACUCGUGGGGAAGGCGGGUUCCUGGACAUUAACUGACGCUGAGGCACGAAGGCCAGGGGAGCGAAAGGGAUUAGAUACCCCUGUAGUCCUGGCAGUAAACGGUGCACGCUUGGUGUGCGGGGAAUCGACCCCCUGCGUGCCGGAGCUAACGCGUUAAGCGUGCCGCCUGGGGAGUACGGUCGCAAGAUUAAAACUCAAAGAAAUUGACGGGGACCCGCACAAGCGGUGGAGUAUGUGGCUUAAUUCGAUGCAACGCGAAGAACCUUACCUGGGCUUGACAUGUAAUGAACAACAUGUGAAAGCAUGCGACUCUUCGGAGGCGUCACACAGGUGCUGCAUGGCCGUCGUCAGCUCGUGUCGUGAGAUGUUUGGUUAAGUCCAGCAACGAGCGCAACCCCUGUUGCCAGUUACCAGCACGUGAAGGUGGGGACUCUGGCGAGACUGCCCAGAUCAACUGGGAGGAAGGUGGGGACGACGUCAGGUCAGUAUGGCCCUUAUGCCCAGGGCUGCACACGUACUACAAUGCCCAGUACAGAGGGGGCCGAAGCCGCGAGGCGGAGGAAAUCCUAAAAACUUGGCCCAGUUCGGACUGUAGGCUGCAACCCGCCUACACGAAGCCGGAAUCGCUAGUAAUGGCGCAUCAGCUACGGCGCCGUGAAUACGUUCCCGGGUCUUGUACUCACCGCCCGUCA